GAUGAACGCUGGUGGCGUGCCUAAUACAUGCAAGUCGAGCGAACAGACGAGGAGCUUGCUCCUCUGACGUUAGCGGCGGACGGGUGAGUAACACGUGGAUAACCUACCUAUAAGACUGGGAUAACUUCGGGAAACCGGAGCUAAUACCGGAUAAUAUAUUGAACCGCAUGGUUCAAUAGUGAAAGACGGUUUUGCUGUCACUUAUAGAUGGAUCCGCGCCGCAUUAGCUAGUUGGUAAGUUAACGGCUUACCAAGGCGACGAUGCGUAGACGACCUGAGAGGGUGAUCGGCCACACUGGAGCGGAGACACGGUCCAGACUACUACGGGAGGCAGCAGUAGGGAACCUGCCGCAAUGGGCGAAAGCCUGACGGAGCAACGCCGCGUGAGUGAUGAAGGUCUUCGGAUCGUAAAACUCUGUUAUGAGGGAAGAACAAAUGUGUAAGUAACUAUGCACGUCUUGACGGUACCUAAUCAGAAAGCCACGGCUAACUACGUG
This 497-nucleotide ribosomal RNA is filed under the name uncultured bacterium. Its description in RNAcentral is "partial 16S ribosomal RNA". It matches the Rfam family "Bacterial small subunit ribosomal RNA", at positions 28 to 507 of the family's 1533-position model. The record is from RNAcentral.